GAGUUUGAUCAUGGUUCAGGAUGAACGCUAGCGGCAGGCUUAACACAUGCAAGUCGAGGGGCAGCACGGGUAGCAAUACCUGGUGGCGACCGGCGGAAGGGUGCGUAACGCGUGAGCAACAUGCCCUAUACAGGGGAAUAAACCAGGGAAACUUGGUCUAAUGCCCCAUAGCAAUAAGAUAAGGCAUCUUAUUUUAUUUAAAGCUUCGGUGGUAUAGGAUUGGCUCGCGUGACAUUAGCUGGAUGGUGGGGUAACGGCCCACCAUGGCGAUGAUGUCUAGGGGUUCUGAGAGGAAGACCCCCCACACUGGGACUGAGACACGGCCCAGACUCCUACGGGAGGCAGCAGUGAGGAAUAUUGGACAAUGGAUGGAAAUCUGAUCCAGCCAUGCCGCGUGCAGGAAGACGGCCCUAUGGGUUGUAAACUGCUUUUCUACGGGAGCAAUAAGGUCUACGCGUAGACUGAUGAGAGUACCGUAGGAAUAAGCAUCGGCUAACUCCGUGCCAGCAGCCGCGGUAAUACGGAGGAUGCGAGCGUUAUCCGGAUUUAUUGGGUUUAAAGGGUGCGUAGGCGGCUUUUUAAGUCAGCGGUGAAAUUUUGCAGCUUAACUGUAACAGUGCCGUUGAUACUGGGGAGCUAGGAUUUGGUUGCUGUGGGUGGGAAUGUGUGGUGUAGCGGUGAAAAUGCUUAGAGAUCACCACAGAAUAUCGAU
RNAcentral lists this ribosomal RNA (712 nucleotides) under uncultured bacterium. RNAcentral's name for it is "bacterial SSU rRNA". It matches the Rfam family "Bacterial small subunit ribosomal RNA", at positions 9 to 713 of the family's 1533-position model. The record is from RNAcentral.